GAAGGCUUAAUGUGACACAAGUCACAACAGGAAGCUAGGUGACUCGGCUUCGCUGCUCCUGUCACGACGCUUGGGCAGGCUCAUCCAUUCGCCCAUCCGAUCUGUGGGAAGCUGCCUCUUCCCCGUGUACCCCAGUCAGACCACAUAUGGAAACCCUGGUGCGCAGAUUCCAGCUGCCUUCUAGUUCUAGAGUACAAGUCCAGUCUGCUGCCCAGAACCACUAAGUGAGAAAACUGACUCCAAAACACCCUUGGCCAGUGGACAGGACUUGGCUUCUC
This is a long non-coding RNA of Chionomys nivalis (European snow vole), 278 nucleotides long. RefSeq lists it as uncharacterized. NCBI's taxonomy places the organism in Eukaryota, Metazoa, Chordata, Mammalia, Rodentia, Cricetidae. The transcript is spliced from 3 exons. The record is from RefSeq and is a predicted model, not a curated record.